GGAGCCUCACGGUCCCGGAAACUUUCCCCGGGUGUCGCCGUCGCAGCGCACGCCCGGGAGCGCGGAGCGGGGCUCGCCCACCUUUGCCGCGGCGGCGGAGGGGAGCCUGGAGAAGGGGGCGCCCGGCCGCCCGCAGCGCAGGAGGCUGGAGCUCCGGCCCCGCGAGCGGUGCCAUGGGGGAGGCGGCCAGCCCCGCGCCCUCGCCCGCGCUCUGGGACUGGGACUACCUGGACCGCUGCUUCGCCCGCCACCGCGUCUGCAUCUCCUUUGGCCUGUGGAUCUGCUCCUCCUCCUGCUGGAUCGCCGCCCACGCGCUGCUUCUCUACCUGAGAUGCAGAAAGAAACCCAGGCAGGGCCAGUCGGCACUGUGCGCUGCCUGCUGCCUCCUGACCAGCCUGUGUGACACCGUUGGAGCAAUUCUGGCUAGACAGCUCACAAUCCAGGUUUUCAGUGGUGCCUACCUAGCAACUAUCGACUUAGCCAACUUCAUGUUCAUUCUCUUCCCAGUCUGCAGAUCCAAAUUCAAGUCCCAUUCCGGUUGCCGAACCAGAGAGAGGAAGAGGAGGCGGCGACUCAGAGCUGGCAUAUUUGCCCUGGCUCUACCGCUGAGCCUGGGCCCAAGCUGGGCUCUCUGGGCUGCUGUUCCGAAGGCUCCGGCCCUGGUCCGGGGGCCCCAGCGGAGGCUGCUGGGAAGCCUGCUGCAGGAAAAUACGGAAGUCUUCGGCUACCUGCUGGGUGGCAUUGCUGCCUUGGGCGCCUGGGCCUCCAGGAUACCCCCACUCUCCAGAAUCUGCCGGGGGAAGUCAUUCUCCUACAUCCACCUGUGGGCGCGGCUUCUGUCAGCCCUGGCGGGCCUCCUCUAUGCCUCAGCCAUUGUGGCCCAUGAUCGGCAGCCUGAGUACCUGCUUCGGGCCACGCCCUGGUUCCUGACCUCCCUCGGCCGUGCUGCUCUGGACCUCGCUAUCAUCUUCCUGUCGUGUGUGAUGAAGAGCAAAAUGAGACAAACCCUAGGAUUCUCCACAGAAGCCAGAGAGAGCCCCGACACUCAGGCCCUUCUGACCUGUGCAGAGGAAGAGGGAGAGAACCAGGAGACCAGGACCAAGGACAAGAAUUCAGAUUGGGUGCCACUCACCACCCUGUCACACUGCAAGUCAUUGAAGACAAUGGCAGCAAUCAGUCACUACAUGGAGCUGACCAUCGAACCUGUGCAACAGGCAGGCUAUGGUGCCAUGAGACUGCCUGGCGAUGGACAGACCAGCACAGGAGACACGUCCCUGCAGGAGCCCCCCUCGUACCCACCCGUCCAGGUCAUCCGGGCCCGAGUGUCUUCCAGCAGCUCCUCUGAGGUGUCCUCCAUCAACUCGGACCUGGAGCAGAAGUAUUGGGAGGCCCUAAACUCGGAGCAGUGGGACCCUGAAGAUGUCAACUUUGAAAGGAACAACGACAGCAUGGAGAUCUUCAGAUCCCAGGUGCAGAGGGGCUCUUUGAGGACAGUAGACUUGACCUCUGAUGAUUAGCGCCUUCAGAAAUACAGUUCAUCAGCUCAAAACCCAAGAUCAGGCAAUCAGUAACUGAGCAAAGAUCAACCUACAGUGAUACCCAUGGCAGGACUUUAAGCUGCUGCAGAAGCUGCCCAGGGAAGUGAGGACCUGGAGCUAAGCUUGGCUGGUCUACAUGGCUCAGAAUAGAACUAGACUCUGGGUCCUAUGGACAGACCUGGAUAUGCCAUUCGUUCUCAAGGUUAGAAGUUCAAAGAUGGCUCCUGCUUUGUAAAGAUGAGCCUUCCUCCAAAACACAAUGGACCCUCUUUUCCUGUCUUUCCUUUCCUUCUAUUCCCAUGAAAUGUAAUCAUAAACUGAGUAUCUGCUGGAUGCCAGGAAUGAGCUCACCUAACAAACAGCUCAUGUGUUUGGACCUCAGCAAAGCCCGUCCUGCAAGCCCUGGUUUCUGCCCUCCAGUAUCUGCUGGAAGUUAUCUAUAGGACUGCUUGGUCAACUAAGUGUCUGUGAGAUCAGUGGUAUUGCAAGCACAAGCAAAGCCAGUUGCUCUAAACAAGAGGACUUCCUGCAGCCUGGCAACGUGUGUGGAGGCAGUGUUUGCAGUUAAGGCCCAUGCCCUGGCAGAGGAGGCUCCGCUUUGAAGGAACCCAAGGUAUAUUGCAAUGCCGAGGAAGAGCUCUUCAAGAAGUUUACACAAGCCUCUCCUGGUAUUCAAGAGUCAUCAUGUGAGAGGGACGAUCUUCAAGAAGUUCAAGAACGAUGCUAGAAAAAAUAACUUAGAACAUCUAAUCUGCUUUUUCUUUAUACAAAAACCCUGAAAGCCAAAUAAGCCAGGGGGAGGUGGGAAGCAUUGAGGACUGCUCCUUCCAAGCUGGGCAAGUCAUUAACCAGCCUUAACUUCAACAACCUCCGUUGAUCUGUCGCCUGGAGAACUCAGCACGCCCUCCCAGUUCCCUAGGCCAUUUCCCAUCAGCGGCCGGUACUGCCUGGGAGGUUCAGCCUCCUCUCUAGUCCUCUGAUGGUCUGCAGCUACGAUGGCCGAGGGGUCUGGUCUUUCUCCUGCACCGGCUCCCUCUUCAGUCCCCAGAGAGAUCGUCCACGACCAACUGAGGGCCGGUCGGUGGACUCCUCAAAGGCGGGGUAAGGGCCCACUGUCCGGACGGGUCGGAACUGGACCAGGGCUCCCCGGACCUACCUCCUGGGAAGUACUGCCCCGGUACUUCCGCGAAGAGGGCGGGGGCGGGGAGAAGCACGAGGCUCUGCGCUUGCGCACUCCGCAGCCACCUCCCCACCCGACGGGGAGCGCGAACCCCGCCCCCGCGGUGUCUGCAGCACGUGGGCUCCUUCUUGCGCAGCCGCGGCCGGGGAGGCUGCUAGGGGUGCUGGUUGCCACUUUUCCGGCUGAGUUUUUAAGGUUAGUUACACAGUUAUUUUAUGGUUCCUAUCGUUUGGGGACCAACUCCCAGCCUUAGCCUGUAGUGUAAACCAUUCUUUAAGUACAUUAAAAUUUCUC
Molecule: RNA transcript, 3012 nt
Organism: Sciurus carolinensis (gray squirrel)
Lineage: Eukaryota; Metazoa; Chordata; Mammalia; Rodentia; Sciuridae
Gene: Tmem44
Gene name: transmembrane protein 44
Exons: 12
Source: RefSeq, a predicted model, not a curated record